GACAGAAUAGUUUAACCAAAACCAUGAAUUGUGGUUUCAUAAAUGCCUAAGGCUUCUGUCC
This 61-nucleotide transfer RNA is filed under the name Eurythoe complanata. Its description in RNAcentral is "tRNA-His". Lineage: Eukaryota; Metazoa; Annelida; Polychaeta; Eunicida; Amphinomidae. The record is from RNAcentral.